UGGUUAGGAUUCGGCGCUCUCAC
This 23-nucleotide non-coding RNA is filed under the name Xenopus tropicalis (tropical clawed frog). Lineage: Eukaryota; Metazoa; Chordata; Amphibia; Anura; Pipidae. The record is from RNAcentral. RNAcentral also lists the same sequence under 3 other names.